RNAcentral lists this ribosomal RNA (708 nucleotides) under Triticum aestivum (bread wheat). RNAcentral's name for it is "partial small subunit ribosomal RNA". Lineage: Eukaryota; Viridiplantae; Streptophyta; Magnoliopsida; Poales; Poaceae. The record is from RNAcentral.
AUGAUCCGCGCGUUCCUGGACCGCUCCUCUUGCUCAAUUGUCUGCAUUCAGGAGUCGAAGCUUUCGUCCUUCUCGGCCGCCGACCGUAGUGAGAUUGUUGGGCCGCGGUUUGACAUGCAUGCCGCCCUGGAUGCGAACGGCACCAGGGGAGGCAUCCUCCUCUGCUGGAGGUCCGAUCCGUUCACUGCUAGCUCAGUUGUGACUAGGGAGUUUUCCAUCACGGCUCGCUUAAUGCCGGUGGACGGGGGGGACCACUGCUACUGGCAGUUCAUUGCCGGCUUCAAUGAGGUGGUGCAACAAGCUUGGAUGGAGGGCACAGGCAGCAGAUGCCCAAUCGCUCGCCUGAAUGCCAAGCUUUGGCGCACAAGCAAAGCGCUUAGGAACUGGAGCAGGGUGCAUGUGGGCGACUUGCAACGGCAACUUGGGAUUGCCACGGAGUUGAUCUUUCAACUAGAAACUGCUCAGGAGUCCCACCAACUCACUGAAGAUGAGCGCGAGCUGCGUGCCAAACUUAAGUCUAGGACAUUGGGGUUGGCUGUGCUACUUAAGAUCAAGAGAAGGCAACGCAGCAGGGUCUUAUGGCUUAAGGCCGGGGAUGCCAACACAAAAUUCUUUCAUCGAAAAGCCAAUGCUCGGCACAAGAGGAACACAAUCCAUGUCUUGCAUGGGGCGCAAGGGCCUAUUACCUCGCCUGAUGCAAUGACAUAG